This 501-nucleotide ribosomal RNA is filed under the name Hypocreales sp. PDA4. RNAcentral's name for it is "SSU rRNA". It matches the Rfam family "Eukaryotic small subunit ribosomal RNA", at positions 242 to 745 of the family's 1831-position model. Lineage: Eukaryota; Fungi; Ascomycota; Sordariomycetes; Hypocreales. The record is from RNAcentral.
CUUGGUGAUUCAUGAUAACUUCUCGAAUCGCAUGGCCUUGCGCCGGCGAUGGUUCAUUCAAAUUUCUUCCCUAUCAACUUUCGAUGUUUGGGUAUUGGCCAAACAUGGUUGCAACGGGUAACGGAGGGUUAGGGCUCGACCCCGGAGAAGGAGCCUGAGAAACGGCUACUACAUCCAAGGAAGGCAGCAGGCGCGCAAAUUACCCAAUCCCGACUCGGGGAGGUAGUGACAAUAAAUACUGAUACAGGGCUCUUUAGGGUCUUGUAAUUGGAAUGAGUACAAUUUAAAUCCCUUAACGAGGAACAAUUGGAGGGCAAGUCUGGUGCCAGCAGCCGCGGUAAUUCCAGCUCCAAUAGCGUAUAUUAAAGUUGUUGUGGUUAAAAAGCUCGUAGUUGAACCUUGGCCUCGGCCGGCCGGUCCGCCUCACCGCGUGCACUGGCUCGGCCGGGGCUUUCCCUCUGUGGAACCCCAUGCCCUUCACUGGGCGUGGCGGGGAACCAG